GGCAAGUCUGGUGCCAGCAGCCGCGGUAAUUCCAGCUCCAAUAGCGUAUAUUAAAGUUGUUGUGGUUAAAAAGCUCGUAGUUGAACCUUGGGCCUGGCUGGCCGGUCCGCCUCACCGCGUGUACUGGUCCGGCCGGGCCUUUCCCUCUGUGGAACCCCAUGCCCUUCACUGGGCGUGGCGGGGAAACAGGACUUUUACUGUGAAAAAAUUAGAGUGCUCCAGGCAGGCCUAUGCUCGAAUACAUUAGCAUGGAAUAAUAGAAUAGGACGUGUGGUUCUAUUUUGUUGGUUUCUAGGACCGCCGUAAUGAUUAAUAGGGACAGUCGGGGGCAUCAGUAUUCAAUUGUCAGAGGUGAAAUUCUUGGGUUUAUUGAAGACUAACUACUGCGAAAGCAUUUGCCAAGGAUGUUUUCAUUAAUCAGGAACGAAAGUUAGGGGAUCGAAGACGAUCAGAUACCGUCGUAGUCUUAACCAUAAACUAUGCCGACUAGGGAUCGGACGGUGUUAUUUUUUGACCCGUUCGGCACCUUACGGGAAAC
This 538-nucleotide ribosomal RNA is filed under the name uncultured Ascomycota. RNAcentral's name for it is "SSU rRNA". It matches the Rfam family "Eukaryotic small subunit ribosomal RNA", at positions 554 to 1098 of the family's 1831-position model. The record is from RNAcentral. Lineage: Eukaryota; Fungi; Ascomycota.